Long non-coding RNA from Lathyrus oleraceus (garden pea), 514 nucleotides. RefSeq lists it as uncharacterized. The record is from RefSeq and is a predicted model, not a curated record. NCBI's taxonomy places the organism in Eukaryota, Viridiplantae, Streptophyta, Magnoliopsida, Fabales, Fabaceae. The transcript has 2 exons.
GAAAGAAAGAAGAAGUGGAUAAGAAUGAAAGAAAGAAAGAAAUAGUAUGUAAGAGAGAAAGAGAGUUAUUAGAAAGAAAGAAAAGAAAGAAAAUAGGAAGAGGAGAGAAAAGAGAAAGGAAGAGAAGGAAUGAGAAGAAGAAGAAGAAGAAACUCAUGGAGGAACAAGAAGAUUGGUAUCAUCUUCAUCAUCACCACCAUCAUCUCAUCUUCGUCAUUACCUACUAUCUUCUUCACCAACUUCAUCAUCCUCUCCAUAGAAGGCAUUCCUUACAGGUUGAAUUCAAGAGAAGCUGUCUAUUGAUGUUUCAAGGGAUGCAGUUAUUGUGAUCUUCCACUGUGGAUUUUGUACAAUUGUAGAUAUUGUACAUAGUUCUUAGAUUUUAUUAAUAGGCUUUAUUAUAUGACAUGUCUUAUUGAUGUUUUUUUUAGUUUAGACAUGUGUAUAUAAUGAUUCCUAUAGGCUCUUAUGUUGUAUCACUACCAAAUAAUAACACUUGUAUGAUAUUAUUCUA